GAGGCACGACUUCCGGUGUAUCACUAUCACACCCUCACCAGCUUCCCCCAUCCGUCCAACACUUCCUGAAUCACGCGAACAAACGCAAACGCCCCCCUUCUCCUCCUUUCCGUUCCUCUUCCUCCCUCUCAAGAUUCAUGUCCCCCUAUCUCGAGUCUUGGGCUAGGUGCCACGAUAACGUCCUCGACCCCCCUCCCCCUCGCUCCCCUCCUCCCACUUCUUUACGGUUUUCUCUGUGCAGUUUCAUCUCAUUGGUCGGCGCGUAUUCCUUCUGUUUCUCGUGCAUUUCUCCCGCGCCUCUACAAUUGUGUCCAGUGGGCCCUCUCGGUGAGUCGAGUGUGAUGGCGCCACCUGCGUGGUCUUGUCGUUUGUUUUUUUUUUCUUUUCUUGGCUUACCAGUAGUCGAUGUGCGACAUGCCGAAUACUUUUUUUUUGCCUCCAUCCUCUCGGCAGAUACGUGCACUCUUCGCCACCUGCACUCACAGGCAUGUGCACACACGCCGGACAGUCGUACUACUUGUUGCUCGUACUUCUGUCGGGUAUCGUACGUUGAGCUCGGAGGAGGAAGGGGGGAUGAGGGGAUGCGGGUGCGAGUGCGACGCGUAGCGGGCGUAAGCAAGAAGCUGAUCAUCAGGGAAAGGAUAUGGCUAGCGGCGCAUAUUGAAGAACAAGUGCGGGGAGCCUCUGCUUAUGGUUCUCUUUGUGUGUUUUAGUGAGCUCGGGGCACGCAACAGAAGGCCAACGCUUGUGUGUGUGCAUAUGCGUGUGGCGUUGAGAGUGCGCUAUGGUCGCAUGACACGAAGAGCGAGAUACGACGUCGUCUGUGUCUGUGCGGCACGAACGGAUCACCACAGGUGAGCUAUGCGUGGACUCUUUCCUUUCGACUUUCUCUUUCUCUCUCGCUCUUCCUCACCCCCUCGGCCGCACUUACACACACGCAAAUGCGCAUGCACAUGCACAUGCGCCACUCUACUCCAUGAGCAAACACCAG
Molecule: unclassified non-coding RNA, 991 nt
Filed under: Leishmania donovani
Lineage: Eukaryota; Euglenozoa; Kinetoplastea; Trypanosomatida; Trypanosomatidae
Description: gene:unknown
Source: RNAcentral